This 465-nucleotide ribosomal RNA is filed under the name Vreelandella stevensii. RNAcentral's name for it is "partial 16S ribosomal RNA". It matches the Rfam family "Bacterial small subunit ribosomal RNA", at positions 338 to 795 of the family's 1533-position model. The record is from RNAcentral. Lineage: Bacteria; Pseudomonadati; Pseudomonadota; Gammaproteobacteria; Oceanospirillales; Halomonadaceae.
CCUACGGGUGGCUGCAGUGGGGAAUAUUGGACAAUGGGCGAAAGCCUGAUCCAGCCAUGCCGCGUGUGUGAAGAAGGCCUUCGGGUUGUAAAGUACUUUCAGUGGGGAAGAAAGCCUUGGGGCUAAUACCCUCGAGGAAGGACAUCACCCACAGAAGAAGCACCGGCUAACUCCGUGCCAGCAGCCGCGGUAAUACGGAGGGUGCGAGCGUUAAUCGGAAUUACUGGGCGUAAAGCGCGCGUAGGCGGUCUAAUAAGCCGGUUGUGAAAGCCCCGGGCUCAACCUGGGAACGGCAUCCGGAACUGUCAGGCUAGAGUGCAGGAGAGGAAGGUAGAAUUCCCGGUGUAGCGGUGAAAUGCGUAGAGAUCGGGAGGAAUACCAGUGGCGAAGGCGGCCUUCUGGACUGACACUGACGCUGAGGUGCGAAAGCGUGGGUAGCAAACAGGAUUAGAUACCCCUGUAGUC